AUUGAACGCUGGCGGCAGGCCUAACACAUGCAAGUCGAGCGAGCGGAGGACGGGUGAGUACUGUCUGGGAAACUGCCUGAUGGAGGGGGAUAACUACUGGAAACGGUAGCUAAUACCGCAUACCCUCAGAUGUGCCCAGAGGGGAUUAGCUUGUAGGUGGGGUAAUGGCUCACCUAGGCGACGAUCCCUAGCUGGUCUGAGAGGAUGACCAGCCACACUGGAACUGCGACACGGUCCAGACUCCUACGGGAGGCAGCAGUGGGGAAUAUUGCACAAGGGGCGCAAGCCUUAUGCAGCCAUGCCGCGUGUUUGAAGAAGGCCUUCGGGUUGUAAAGCACUUUCAGCGGGGAGGCGUUACCCGCAGAAGAAGCACCGGCUAACUCCGUGCCAGCAGCCGCGGUAAUUC
This 406-nucleotide ribosomal RNA is filed under the name uncultured bacterium. RNAcentral's name for it is "partial 16S ribosomal RNA". It matches the Rfam family "Bacterial small subunit ribosomal RNA", at positions 30 to 526 of the family's 1533-position model. The record is from RNAcentral.